This 804-nucleotide ribosomal RNA is filed under the name Aphrodita australis. Its description in RNAcentral is "12S ribosomal RNA". The record is from RNAcentral. Lineage: Eukaryota; Metazoa; Annelida; Polychaeta; Phyllodocida; Aphroditidae.
AAGGUUUGAUUCUAGCCUUAAAGUUACUUCUGUCUUAUCAAUAUACAUGCAAGGCAUCCAACCCCGUGAGGCCUUAGAACUCUUAAUGAAAUAUAUAAUUAAAUAAUUUAUUAUAAAAAUAAAGAUACCACGACUGCAGUAUAAAACUCUCUUUAUCUUCGCAAGAAGGAAAAGGCUAUUGACUAACCUCCUGGUAAAAUCUGUGCCAGCUACUGCGGUUAAACAGAAAGGAUUGUAACUAAAGUCAGGUAAACGCGGCUCAUGAUAAAAAUACUCACAUUAUUAAAGGUUCAAUUUUUUUUACCCUUUACCUUUUCUAACAUUAUCUCUUUAUUUCACGUGAAAGCUUAAACCAAAACAAGGAUUAGAUACCCUUUUAUUCUAAGCCAUAAACUGCUAACCCCCUGGGCACUACGAACCCAUGUUUAAAACCCAAAGAUCUUGGCGGUGCUUUAACCUCUUAGGGGAACCUGUUCUUUAAUUUGAUACCCCACGCUGAGCUCCACUUAUAGUUCGCCCUAGCAUGUGUACUGCCGUCGUAAGCUUACCUUGAAAAAGCAAGUAAGCAAAAAGCUAACAGGCACCACGUCAGGUCAAAGUGCAGCCUAUACUUAAGUAGAAAUGGGUUACAACCCUAACCCCGGAUUACGAAUUUCUAGUCUCAAAAUAAAAUGAAGGAGGACUUAAAAGUAAGGACUCUUACCCCCCUGAAUAAGGCAAUAUAAAGCAUGCACACAUCGCCCGUCACUCUCACCGAAAGGGGAGAUAAGUCGUAACAUAGUAGGUGUAAUGGAAAUUGUGCCU